UAUGGGUAUCUACUCAGGAUCAGUCUGGAACAGUCAUCUAGAAAUUGAAUUUUCUUCUCUAAGAAAAUUCAGCCCGCUGAAUCUGAAUGAAGCCUAGAUCAUGAUCAAUACUUGAUCUCUUUUCUUGAUCUUCUUCUUCUUCUCUUCUCUAGCGUUUCUCCCUUACUAUAUGCUGCUACCAGAUAUUGAAAACCAGCAAGAAAGAAAACACCCAAAGCCUUGGGCGUGGAAGGGCUUGGGACAUCCCAAAGGAUAGGGCAUGUGGGAUGCCCAAGGGGAGA
Molecule: long non-coding RNA, 281 nt
Filed under: Elaeis guineensis (African oil palm)
Lineage: Eukaryota; Viridiplantae; Streptophyta; Magnoliopsida; Arecales; Arecaceae
Description: long non-coding RNA (EGUI_LNC055920)
Source: RNAcentral